CGUAGGGUGCGAGCGUUGUCCGGAAUUACUGGGCGUAAAGAGCUCGUAGGUGGUUUGUCGCGUUGUUCGUGAAAACUCACAGCUUAACUGUGGGCGUGCGGGCGAUACGGGCAGACUGGAGUACUGCAGGGGAGACUGGAAUUCCUGGUGUAGCGGUGGAAUGCGCAGAUAUCAGGAGGAACACCGGUGGCGAAGGCGGGUCUCUGGGCAGUAACUGACGCUGAGGAGCGAAAGCGUGGGGAGCGAACAGGAUUAGAUACCCUGGUAGUCCACGCCGUAAACGGUGGGUACUAGGUGUGGGUUUCCUUCCUUGGGAUCCGUGCCGUAGCUAACGCAUUAAGUACCCCGCCUGGGGAGUACGGCCGCAAGGCUA
RNAcentral lists this ribosomal RNA (373 nucleotides) under uncultured organism. RNAcentral describes it as "bacterial SSU rRNA". It matches the Rfam family "Bacterial small subunit ribosomal RNA", at positions 526 to 896 of the family's 1533-position model. The record is from RNAcentral.